GCCGGCGUGGCUCAAUGGUAGAGCGUCUCUUUCCUAAUUAGGAAACUCCAGGAGAAGGUUGUGGGUUCGAGUCCCACUGUUGGUU
Molecule: non-coding RNA, 85 nt
Organism: Roridomyces roridus
Lineage: Eukaryota; Fungi; Basidiomycota; Agaricomycetes; Agaricales; Mycenaceae
Source: the annotation of a GenBank genome assembly